GCCCGGAUAGCUCAACUGGCAGAGCAUUUGAUUUGUAAUCAAAAGGUUGUGGGUUCGAUUCCCACUCUUGGUU
Molecule: transfer RNA, 73 nt
Filed under: Bacteriophage sp.
Description: tRNA-Thr
Rfam family: tRNA
About the family: Transfer RNA (tRNA) molecules are approximately 80 nucleotides in length. Their secondary structure includes four short double-helical elements and three loops (D, anti-codon, and T loops). Further hydrogen bonds mediate the characteristic L-shaped molecular structure. tRNAs have two regions of fundamental functional importance: the anti-codon, which is responsible for specific mRNA codon recognition, and the 3' end, to which the tRNAs corresponding amino acid is attached (by aminoacyl-tRNA synthetases). tRNAs cope with the degeneracy of the genetic code in two manners: having more than one tRNA (with a specific anti-codon) for a particular amino acid; and 'wobble' base-pairing, i.e. permitting non-standard base-pairing at the 3rd anti-codon position.
Source: RNAcentral